This 490-nucleotide ribosomal RNA is filed under the name uncultured bacterium. RNAcentral describes it as "partial 16S ribosomal RNA". It matches the Rfam family "Bacterial small subunit ribosomal RNA", at positions 28 to 507 of the family's 1533-position model. The record is from RNAcentral.
GAUGAACGCUAGCGGCAGGCCUAAUACAUGCAAGUCGAACGGGAUCCAGAUCAAAGCUUGCUUUGGUUUGGUGAGAGUGGCGUACGGGUGCGUAACGCGUGAGCAACCUACCCUUGUCAGGGGGAUAGCCCGGCGAAAGUCGGAUUAAUACCGCAUGACAUCAUUGAGAGGCAUCUUUCGAUGAUCAAAGAUUUAUCGGACAAGGAUGGGCUCGCGUGACAUUAGCUAGUUGGUAAGGUAACGGCUUACCAAGGCUACGAUGUCUAGGGGCUCUGAGAGGAGAAUCCCCCACACUGGUACUGAGACACGGACCAGACUCCUACGGGAGGCAGCAGUAAGGAAUAUUGGGCAAUGGACGGAAGUCUGAACCAGCCAUGCCGCGUGCAGGAAGACGGCCCUAUGGGUUGUAAACUGCUUUUAUACGGGAACAAACGUCGGUACGUGUACCGGUCUGAGUGUACCGUAAGAAUAAGGAUCGGCUAACUCCGUG